GCAGCACAGGCGCGCGACCUCGCCGUGAGCGCGAGGAUCUCAGGCUCCAGCCCCGGCCCCGCCGCUCUGUCCCCGCCUGACCCGGCAGAGAGGAAGGGGAUGAGGAAAGGAGACAGAGGGCACGGUGACUUUGAGGGACGCCGCGGAGUGGCUGGAGCCCCCCGCGGAAGGAAAGCCGUGUUCAUCGCUCCAGAGUGUAACGACAGCUGUGCCCGGCUGAGCCUGCGCAGAGGGUGGAGAGACGGGAGUGGAUUGUGCAUCCACGCAGCUUUUGAAGAAGCAAUAGCUUGCUGGCUUGUAAGACAGCAAAUUGAGGGGAAAGACCUGCCUGGCUGUGGUAUUACCAACCAAUGGAUGUAUAACCUGGAUGGAAUAAAAAAAAACGGAAAGAAAAAGGAAGUGGGACCUGUUUGAUGAGCUGUGGUCUUUCUGAGCAGGCACGUCCUUUGCUGCUGAUGCCUUCUGGACAUCGGUCUCCGGGUCUCCAGUUUCUUCAGCCUCGGACACAAACUCUCCCUAGUGCUCUCCAGUGAGCUCCCAGCCUUCAGCCCUGGACAGGUUCUGCAUCCUUGACCCCUACUGUUCUGAGGCUUCCAGCUUCUUGGCUUGAGCUGAUCCUGAAUCCUUUGGCUCUCCAGGGUCCAGGUGGCUAUCAUGGACUCUUCCGCCUCUGAGUCUGCCCGCCUGCCUAACUAACCCCUUUGCAGAAUUACACAUCUGCUUCUCUUGCUUCUGUUUCUCUAGAGAACCAUAAUACAUAUAGUGCACAUAUAUCAAUUUCUACCAUAUAUACUUAGGCAUAUACCUGUUAAAUUACAGGAUAUGCAGGUUUUCACCAAGCAAUUUCCAAGGUGUUUGCAGAAAUGUAUACUCCUGUAGAUAGUUCUUUCUUUUCACAGCAUUGCUCUCAUUUGAUAGUGUAACUCUUCUUAAUCUUUUGUUAAUCUCACAUUUUGAAAUAAUUUUAUACUUGAAGAGACUACAGAGAGCUCCCACACAUGACUUAGACAGCUUUCUUCACUGUUAGAAUCCUACAUAGUACAGUUAUUGACGCCAAGAAAUUAAUAGAAUCCUACAUAGUACAGUUAUUGACACCAAGAAAUUAAUGUUGCCACCAGUACCCUAAACAAACCCUGUGAGAGAGCCUAUCUGAAUUCCACUGGUCCUUCCAAUGUCCUUCUUCUGUUCUAGGAUCCAGUGUGAGAUUUCACAUAACAUUUCUGUCAUCUGAGUCCCCCAGCUGUGACGGCUCCUGGUCUUUCCUUUCUCUCAUGCCCUUGACACUUUAUUAAGGGUACUUGUCAGGUAGCUGGUAGAGUGGCCCACAGUUCAGGCAAACUGAUGCUUUCUCAUGGUUAGAUUAAGGCCAUAUAUUUAGGGGAAGGAUGUCACAAAGGUGACGCACCCCCCCCCGAUCCUGGGAGGGGGGCACAUUCAUACACUCACAUCUACGGCCUGGAUCUUCAUUCUCUAAGGUUCUGUGUACUGUUUGUCCACUGUCAACCACUGCUCUAGCUCGAUAUUUGCUUCCCUUCCACAAUUCAUGUUUAGACUUAAUCCAAACAGCAGUAAGAAGUAGGGUGUGCACAAGGGGAUUGAGCAACAAGGGCUCCACUCUCAAGGAUAGGAUUAGCUCUUUAUAUGAGGGAUCAGGAGGUGAGUUUUCCCUUCCAUGCUCUUUUCCUGCUCUGUCCCUUCCACUGUGUGAGAACACAGCAACAUCCCCUCCAGAGUGUGAAGCUGCAAACCACCGUCUUAGCGGAGAGCAGCCCUUACCAGACCUCCAACCCUGGCAACCACUUACUGCAAUUUUGUCCCUAUAGUUUGCCUUUUCCAGAAUGCCAUGUUAAGGAAUAAACAUAGCCUCUUGUAAAUGACUUUUCUCAUUUACCAAUAUCUGUUUAGAGUACAGUGAUGUUGUUGCUUAAUAUUGUAUGAAUCAAUGAUUCAUUCCUUUUUAUUGCUAAAUAGCAUUGCAUUGUGUAGACAGCAUAGGUUUUUAUCCACUCAUUGCCUGAAGGACAUCUGAAUUGUUUCCAUUUUUUAUUGAUUAUUAAUAAAAUUUCUAGAAACAUUGGCAAUUGAAAACAAAAGUUUUCAAUUAACUUGAGUAAGUACCUAAGAGUAAGAUUCCUGGAGCACAUACAUAUUAAGUAUAUGUUUAACUUUGCAAAAAAAAAAAAAGUUUUCAAUGUGGCUGUAACAAUUUGCUUCCCUAUCAGUAAUAUGUAGUAAUUCAGUUGCUUUGCAUUUUUGCUAGCACUUGUUAUUUUUAGUGUUUUGAUUUUAGCCUUUCUAAAACAGUAGUUGUUUCGUGGUACAUCAUUAUGGUUUUAAGUGUCCCUAAUGACUAAAAAUACACAGCAUCUUUAUAUAAACUAUGUGAUAUACUUCUCCAUAGUAAAUUGUCUAUUCAGAUCAUUCGCCUAUUUUCAUCUCUCUCUCUCUCUCUCUCUCUCUCUCUCUCCCCCUCUCCCUCUCUCUCUCUCCCUCAUUAUGUUACCUACACUGAACUUGAACUCUUGAUUCUCCUGCCUCACUCUCCCAGGUAGCUGGAAUGUCAGGCAAGUGCCACCACCAAUUGCUUAAUUUUAUGAAGUCCAAUUUAACAAUUUAAAAAUUUUUGUGUGUUAUUCUUUUGGUGUCAUGAAUAACUUUUGCCAGUCAAUUUCGAAGCUGGUUUUUUGAAAAGUUCAAUAAAAUUGAAAAACUUUCAGUCAGAUUGAAUAGAGGGUAAAGAGAAGACACCAAUUACCAGUACUAAAUAUGGGGGAAAGGUUAUCAUUAUACAUCCUAUUAAAAUAAUAGUAAGUAUAUUGUGAAUAAUUUUAUGGCAAUAAAUUCAUCAACUUAGGUGCAAUGCAUUCAUUCCUUCAAAGACAUAAACUAUCAAAAUUUCCUCAACAUAAAGUAGAAAAUAUAAUAGAAGUGAGCAUAUAUCUAUUAAGGAAUUGAACUUGUGUGUAAAAUUUUGCCACAAGAAAACUCUAGGUCCAGGCAUUUGCAAAUUCUGCCAGACGCUGAGCUAAGAAACAAUUCUACUUCUAUACAAACACUUCCAGAAAUUUAAUGAAAGAAUUCUCACCACCCUAAUUUAUGAGGCCAGCAUUUAUUAUUCAGACCUUAAAAUCAGACAGAGCUGUCAUAAGAAAAGGUUUAGCCCAUAUCCUAACAUAGAUGCAAAACCUAUUGACUACUUUAUAGCACAAUGAAUCCAGCAAUAUAUCAAAAAGCAUAUCACAUUAUCCCCAUUGGAUCUAUUCUAUUGGUUUAAUACUAAAGACCAAUCCAUGUAAAUCACUGUCUUAACAGAAUAAUACCAUGAGCAUCUCAGUGGAUAAAGAACAAACAUUUGACAAAACCCAAUAUCUAUUCGCAAGAGUGGAAGUGCAUACGGAGCAAUCGCACAGGAAGCCAGGAAACCAGGAAAUGGAUGGGCCAGUCUUGGACUUUCAUAACCAGUUAUCCACUCUCAUGGGAACCAUCUGGUUCCCACAAGAACUGCAUUAAUCCCUUCUGAAGUCAGCACCCCGGUGACCUAAUUCCCUUGCACUAGACCCCAUCUAUUGUAAAGGUCCCACCACCCCCACACUGGCACAGAGGAGGACCAUGCACCCAGGACUCUGUGGGAAACACACUGACACUUUAUCCAGGUCAUGUGGCUACAGAAGCCAUUCACCAGAGAGAGGACAAUCUUCCCAACACAGACGCCGGGCAAUUGGAUAUCCAUACUUUAAAAGUGAAUCUCGAUUUUUGCCUCAUACCAUAUUAAAAAUUGACAUCAAAUUAAGCACAGACCUAAAUAUAAUUGCCAAAACUGUAAAAUUUCUAGAAGAAAACAUAGGGAAGAACAUUAAUUUUAACUCGCACAUUUUCCUUAAAUUAGAUAUAAAAAUGCAAACUAUAAAAAAAUUAAUAAACUAAACUUCAUAAAGGUGAAGAAUGCUCUUCAGAACACAAUGUUAUAAAUGAAAAGGCCAAGGCAUUAAAAAAGGGGUAAAUUAUUUCAAAUAUAUGGCAAAUAAAUGGCUUCUUUCUAAAAUAUGUAAGAGCUCUCUUGUUCUCUUCUGCUAAGCUAGGCAUGGUGAUGCAUGCCUGUAAUCCCGGCCCUCUGGGAAGCUGAAUCAGGAGGAUUACAAGUUCAAACCCAGCCUGAAAAACUUAGUAAAAAGGGCUGAAGGUGAAGCUCAGUAUGAAGGCCCUGAGUUCUAUCCUCAGUACCGCAAAAUAAAAUAAAAUGUAUAAGAAUCAUCAUGACUCAGCUAUGAAAGUAGCUUCUUAUAUUGGUAUUGUUGAAAAGGUGAGUGUAAUAUUAAUAUGUUUCUCUGUCUUAAAAUUAUUGUGACAUGGCAC
This 4353-nucleotide long non-coding RNA is filed under the name Fukomys damarensis (Damara mole-rat). RNAcentral's name for it is "lncRNA (ENSFDAG00000029830.1)". The record is from RNAcentral. Lineage: Eukaryota; Metazoa; Chordata; Mammalia; Rodentia; Bathyergidae.